Molecule: ribosomal RNA, 1059 nt
Filed under: Apilactobacillus kunkeei
Lineage: Bacteria; Bacillati; Bacillota; Bacilli; Lactobacillales; Lactobacillaceae
Description: bacterial SSU rRNA
Rfam family: Bacterial small subunit ribosomal RNA
Source: RNAcentral
CGGGAGGCAGCAGUAGGGAAUCUUCCACAAUGGACGAAAGUCUGAUGGAGCAACGCCGCGUGAGUGAUGAAGGUUUUCGGAUCGUAAAACUCUGUUGUUAAAGAAGAACAAGUGUUAGAGUAACUGUUAACACUUUGACGGUAUUUAACCAGAAAGCCACGGCUAACUACGUGCCAGCAGCCGCGGUAAUACGUAGGUGGCAAGCGUUGUCCGGAUUUAUUGGGCGUAAAGCGAGCGCAGGCGGUUUUGUAAGUCUGCUGUGAAAGCCCUCAGCUCAACUGAGGAAGUGCAGUGGAAACUACAAAACUUGAGUACAGAAGANGAAAAGUGGAACUCCAUGUGUAGCGGUGAAAUGCGUANAUAUAUGGAAGAACACCAGUGGCGAAGGCGGCUUUUCUGGUCUGUUUACUGACCCUGAGGCUCGAAAGCAUGGGUAGCGAACAGGAUUAGAUACCCUGGUAGUCCAUGCCGUAAAACGAUGAAUACUAGGUGUUGGAGGGGUUUCCGCCCUUCAGUGCCGCAGCUAACGCAUUAAGUAUUCCGCCUGGGGGAGUACGACCGCAAGGUUGAAACUCAAAGGAAUUGACGGGGGCCCGCACAAGUGGUGGAGCAUGUGGUUUAAUUCGAUGCUACGCGAAGAACCUUACCAGCUCUUGACAUCUUCUGCCAACCCAAGAGAUUGGGCGUUCCCUUCGGGGACAGAAUGACAGGUGGUGCAUGGUUGUCGUCAGCUCGUGUCGUGAGAUGUUGGGUUAAGUCCCGCAACGAGCGCAACCCUUAUUAUUAGUUGCCAGCAUUUAGUUGGGCACUCUAGUGAGACUGCCGGUGAUAAACCGGAGGAAGGUGGGGACGACGUCAAAUCAUCAUGCCCCUUAUGAGCUGGGCUACACACGUGCUACAAUGGAUGGUACAACGAGUCGCGAAACCGCGAGGUCAAGCUAAUCUCUUAAAGCCAUUCUCAGUUCGGAUUGCAGGCUGCAACUCGCCUGCAUGAAGUUGGAAUCACUAGUAAUCGUGGAUCAGCAUGCCACGGUGAAUACGUUCCCGGGCCUUGUACAC